RNAcentral lists this long non-coding RNA (904 nucleotides) under Capra hircus (goat). Its description in RNAcentral is "lncRNA (ENSCHIG00000005635.1)". The record is from RNAcentral. Lineage: Eukaryota; Metazoa; Chordata; Mammalia; Artiodactyla; Bovidae.
GGUGAACACGUUUUGAACCUGGGAAAGGAUGUAGAAACCGUAAGCUUUUCAGUCAUCCAAACUCUAGGGGAAAUUUAGGCACAUGGGAGAGCCCAGGCUUGGGCAGGAAGUUACCACGAAUGCCCCCACAGAGGGAAGAGCGGGAGCUUUGUUCUUUGUGUUAGACAUUGCACUGAAGGGUGAUGUUUAUCCUUGUAGGAACUGGGGCCACUUGCAUUUCACCCCAGGGAGCAGCGACGCACCUGUGCCGUGACAGGACGCGUCCAUGUGAGUCGAGGUGGUAUCUGUACCGUUUCCAAUCUCUGCCGACCUUGUCCAGCAGGAUGGGGAAGGAUGUGGGAUUUGGACCGAAGAUACCUCGGUGUGUCCCACCCACAGAUAAGAAUCCGGCUCAGAGACCGUUGUGAAGGGGCUGCAGCACCCCCGGGAAAGUGUUCCGGGAGUGUGACUCGGGAAGACGAGCACACGAGGCAUCUUCCGCUUCAUUGGAAGAGUCAGUGGCAACUAGUGUGGGGAAGCGGAGCCCGCGGGGCGAUUGUGCGGCGUCUGCUGGAAUUUGGCAGCGCGGAGGCUUGGAGAGCAGCCCCAUGCUGGCUCCUAUUCAGCCGGCCGGUUCUCCUCGAGCUUUGGAAGUUUCACUCAGCCGUGCACUCAAUGGCUUCACAAAGCUGAUUACAAGCUUCAGCGCAUUCCUGAAGGAGCCAAAAGCGACGCAGGUGCAAACGAGCCGAGGGAGCCCCUUAUCCCAGUGACAGAAUGGGACAAGCUGGGAAAGGCUUGGACCACACAAAUCCAAGCGCACCAGGCAGCAGAAAGCCUGCCUUGGGAACCAGGGGUCAUUAUCCGCCCUAUUCAGCAGGGCCCGGGGACCCUGGGGGCCCGGGAGGCUGGACCGCGAGGGCGU